CUGCAGGCUGAAACUCGCCUGCACGAAGUUGGAAUUGCUAGUAAUCGCGGAUCAGCAUGCCGCGGUGAAUACGUUCCCGGGUCUUGUACACACCGCCCGUCACACCAUGGGAGCUGGUAACACCCGAAGUCAGUAGUCUAACCGCAAGGAGGACGCUGCCGAAGGUGGGAUUAGCGACUGGGGUGAAGUCGUAACAAGGUACC
RNAcentral lists this ribosomal RNA (203 nucleotides) under uncultured bacterium. RNAcentral's name for it is "partial 16S ribosomal RNA". It matches the Rfam family "Bacterial small subunit ribosomal RNA", at positions 1298 to 1500 of the family's 1533-position model. The record is from RNAcentral.